GAUCCAUAUGAUCGAUGGAUCGUUAGAUCGCUUGAUGUGUGUUCAGUACCCUCUGACCUGUCUUCCUUCAGGUGGACGUUGGCCUAUCCAAGAAGAUCCAGGUUGGCAGUGAACCUGGACGUUCUGUGGGACUCCGGAGUACGUGGCUCCAGAGAUCAUUCUGAACAGGGGACACAACUUUAGUGUGGACAUCUGGUCCUUAGACAUCCUGGUCUAUGAGCUGCUCACAGGCAGCUCAGUGCUGGGAGAUGUGUUUGGUUAGAGGACAGGGGAUAAGGUUAGGGGUUAGGGUCAGUGUUGGGAGAUGUGUUUUGGUUAGAGGACAGGGGAUAAGGUUAGGGGUUAGGGUCAGUGCUGGGAGAUGUGUUUGGGUUAGGGGUUAAGGUUAGAGGUUAGGGUCAGUGCUGGGAGAUGUGUUUUGGUUAGGGGUUAAGGUUAGGGGUUAGGGUCAGUGCUGGAAGAUGUGUUUGGGUUAGAGGACAGGGGUUAAGGUUAGGGGUUAGGGUCAGUGCUGGGAGAUGUGUUUGGGUUAGGGGUUAAGGUUAGGGGUUAGGGUCAGUGUUGGGAGAUGUGUUUUGGUUAGAGGACAGGGGUUAAGGUUAGGGGUUAGGGUCAGUGCUGGGAGAUGUGUUUGGGUUAGGGGUUAAGGUUAGGGGUUAGGGUCAGUGUUGGGAGAUGUGUUUUGGUUAGAGGACAGGGGUUAAGGUUAGGGGUUAGGGUCAGUGCUGGGAGAUGUGUUUGGGUUAGGGGACAGGGGAUAAGGUUAGGGGUUAGGGUCAGUGCUGGGAGAUGUGUUUGGGUUAGGGGUUAGGGUCAGUGCUGGGAGAUGUGGGAUGUGUUCUCUGCGUUUACCUUAAAAGGAUAGUGCG
Molecule: long non-coding RNA, 869 nt
Organism: Oncorhynchus tshawytscha (Chinook salmon)
Lineage: Eukaryota; Metazoa; Chordata; Actinopteri; Salmoniformes; Salmonidae
Source: Ensembl